AUUGAACGCUGGCGGCAGGCCUAACACAUGCAAGUCGAACGGUAACAGGAAGAAGCUUGCUUCUUUGCUGACGAGUGGCGGACGGGUGAGUAAUGUCUGGGAAACUGCCUGAUGGAGGGGGAUAACUACUGGAAACGGUAGCUAAUACCGCAUAACGUCGCAAGACCAAAGAGGGGGACCUUCGGGCCUCUUGCCAUCGGAUGUGCCCAGAUGGGAUUAGCUAGUAGGUGGGGUAACGGCUCACCUAGGCGACGAUCCCUAGCUGGUCUGAGAGGAUGACCAGCCACACUGGAACUGAGACACGGUCCAGACUCCUACGGGAGGCAGCAGUGGGGAAUAUUGCACAAUGGGCGCAAGCCUGAUGCAGCCAUGCCGCGUGUAUGAAGAAGGCCUUCGGGUUGUAAAGUACUUUCAGCGGGGAGGAAGGGAGUAAAGUUAACACCUUGGCUCAUUGACGUUACCCGCAGAAGAAGCACCGGCUAACUCCGUG
This 490-nucleotide ribosomal RNA is filed under the name uncultured bacterium. RNAcentral's name for it is "partial 16S ribosomal RNA". It matches the Rfam family "Bacterial small subunit ribosomal RNA", at positions 30 to 507 of the family's 1533-position model. The record is from RNAcentral.